GCUGGGGUUGUGGCUCAGUGGUAGAGCGCUUGCCUAGUAUGUGUGAGGCACUGGGUUUGAUUCUCAGCACAGCA
Molecule: transfer RNA, 74 nt
Filed under: Marmota monax (woodchuck)
Lineage: Eukaryota; Metazoa; Chordata; Mammalia; Rodentia; Sciuridae
Description: tRNA.Thr
Rfam family: tRNA (bases 9-69)
About the family: Transfer RNA (tRNA) molecules are approximately 80 nucleotides in length. Their secondary structure includes four short double-helical elements and three loops (D, anti-codon, and T loops).
Source: RNAcentral